This is a long non-coding RNA of Carassius auratus (goldfish), 1416 nucleotides long. RefSeq lists it as uncharacterized. NCBI's taxonomy places the organism in Eukaryota, Metazoa, Chordata, Actinopteri, Cypriniformes, Cyprinidae. The record is from RefSeq and is a predicted model, not a curated record. The transcript has 3 exons.
AAAGGAUAAUUUUAAUAUAGCUUGCGCUCACAGCUGUAAACAUAGCAGUUCUGGGGGAAUUACGUAUGAGGUCAGCUUUGCUCAUGCGCUGCUCAGAAGUGACGGACAUGGAAAUGCAGCAGAGAGAUCAAAACAAAACAACGGUCACUAAUAAGAAGUAUAAAAUGAGGAUUUGUAAAGAAGAAUGUUGGAUGAUUUUGUUAAAAGCCAAGAGGAGACUGGUUUUCCUUUGCUAAAGUAAGGAAACUUUGCUUCCUUUACUCCUAGUAACAAACGUUGGUUUUUACAAGACUCACUGGCACAUGCGCAAUACUGACCCCAUACGGGAACUGCUUUCAUUUAACAACAGUGAGCCCAAGCUAUAUUAAAGUGAUUAUCACAUUUUGAAUAUGGAUGUUUUUCUUACAAAAAUGAAUCGAUUCGCUACAGAAAGCCUUUGUUCACCUCCCGGAGCCGUCACUUUUUUUAACAGAUGCACUUUUUAUCAAACUUCUUUUGGACUGACGUAGUGUAACACGUAGUGGCAUCAAACAGCUUGAAGGAUCAAAGACAUUUUUUUUAUUUUUUUUUUAUAACUGGAUUCGUCUGAAAGAAGAAGUCAUAUACGGCUAGGAUGACUUCCAGAAAGGAGACGCAAAGCUCUCUAAAGUCCACAGGCUCUUUGGCGGUGGUCGUCUGGCAGACAGUGGAGAUGAUUUGGGACGGAGAUGUUGGAGAGUGACGCUGGCCUGAAAUCAGUCGGAACUGACCCAGCAGGACUGUAGGACGCCACACGCCACGAUCGCAGAGGGUCAACGUCAUUGAGCCCGGAUCAUUUGCCUAAUUAUUUGGGGUUCAGGUGUCAAUCCAAGUAAGGUCAUCCAUUCCAAUAUCCCACCUGGAUAUGGUGGUGUGGUGGGCUUGAGGAAAACGCAAGGAGGAGAAUGAGGAAAAAUAGAGAAAAGCUUCUCGCCAGGGGAAAAGCACUACUUCCGGCACAGAGGGAAACCUAAGCCGCAACAAAACCGACCGCUCCAGUCCAUGUCUCAAGCUCCAUCUUAAGGGACCGUGGCAGCACUUUCAUCUGGCCUCUCUCCCCUCUUAGCCAUCAAUAUCACCUCUCUUACUGCAGCCAUUCAGACCCCCAGAGACAACUCUUUACUUUCCACCAAAGAAAAAAAAAAAAAUAAUGUUUUGAUUCCGUUCUUAAAUGGGACAGGGUCCAUUUGUUAUUUUUUUGGGAACACUUGCAUAUAAUAUAGUGUAUCUUGCCUGAAGGUACAUAUAUUGCAAGCUGCGAACAUGCGCCAAAACGUCUGUGUUUUUUUGAACUAUGUAACACCUUGAGGUAAUGUUCACGACACCUCAUCUGUCUGGAAGCAAUUCAAGGGAUUUUUGUGGCAAAUAUUUUUGCCUUUGACAUUUUCAUUGAUGACA